RNAcentral lists this ribosomal RNA (158 nucleotides) under Pleiocarpon strelitziae. RNAcentral's name for it is "5.8S ribosomal RNA". It matches the Rfam family "5.8S ribosomal RNA". Rfam says of the family: 5.8S ribosomal RNA (5.8S rRNA) is a component of the large subunit of the eukaryotic ribosome. It is transcribed by RNA polymerase I as part of the 45S precursor that also contains 18S and 28S rRNA. Lineage: Eukaryota; Fungi; Ascomycota; Sordariomycetes; Hypocreales; Nectriaceae. The record is from RNAcentral.
AAACUUUCAACAACGGAUCUCUUGGCUCUGGCAUCGAUGAAGAACGCAGCGAAAUGCGAUAAGUAAUGUGAAUUGCAAAAUUCAGUGAAUCAUCGAAUCUUUGAACGCACAUUGCGCCCGCCAGUAUUCUGGCGGGCAUGCCUGUUCGAGCGUCAUUU